GGUCACAAGACUGUAACGUAUCUGACCCUUCAAGGCAAUGACCAGGAUGAUAUGUUUCCCGCAUUGUGUGAGGUCUUGAGACAUCCAGAAUGUAACCUGCGAUAUCUCGGGUUGGUGUCUUGUUCCGCUACCACUCAGCAGUGGGCUGAUCUCUCCUUGGCCCUUGAAGUCAACCAGUCCCUGACGUGCGUAAACCUCUCCGACAAUGAGCUUCUGGAUGAGGGUGCUAAGUUGCUGUACACAACUUUGAGACACCCCAAGUGCUUUCUGCAGAGGUUGUCGUAAGUCUCUCCUCUCUUACAGAGCAGCUGUGCUUUCGAUCUGGGGCCACAGACGAGCAAUGGUCAUGCCUGACUUGGCUGUAUGGAACCUCUCGCUGAUGUGAACACCUGUUCCCAUGUUUAGAUCCAGGCCGAUGGCCUGUGAAUUUUGUUCUUCUCUCAUUCCUAUUCCUUCAUAGGAUCACCAGUGCAUGAUAGAAGGUGGGGAGUUCACAAGAAGGGGCUUUUGGAUGCUGGCACUUGUGGAGCUAGCCGGGAAGGUUGAAGUUGGACCUGUCAACCGUGUUGCCAUUUGUGAUUCUUUUGUAGGUUGGAAAACUGUCACCUUACAGAAGCCAAUUGCAAGGACCUUGCUGCUGUGUUGGUUGUCAGCCGGGAGCUGACACACCUGUGCUUGGCCAAGAACCCCAUUGGGAAUACAGGGGUGAAGUUUCUGUGUGAGGGCUUGAGGUACCCCGAGUGUAAACUGCAGACCUUGGUGCUUUGGAACUGCGACAUAACUAGCGAUGGCUGCUGCGAUCUCACAAAGCUUCUCCAAGAAAAAUCAAGCCUGUUGUGUUUGGAUCUGGGGCUGAAUCACAUAGGAGUUAAGGGAAUGAAGUUCCUGUGUGAGGCUUUGAGGAAACCACUGUGCAACUUGAGAUGUCUGUGGUUGUGGGGAUGUUCCAUCCCUCCGUUCAGUUGUGAAGACCUCUGCUCUGCCCUCAGCUGCAACCAGAGCCUCGUCACUCUGGACCUGGGUCAGAAUCCCUUGGGGUCUAGUGGAGUGAAGAUGCUGUUUGAAACCUUGACAUGUUCCAGUGGCACCCUCCGGACACUCAGGUUGAAAAUCGAUGACUUUAAUGAUGAACUCAAUAAGCUGCUGGAAGAAAUAGAAGAAAAAAACCCACAACUGAUUAUUGAUACUGAGAAACAUCAUCCCUGGGCAGAAAGGCCUUCUUCUCAUGACUUCAUGAUCUGAAUCCCCCCGAGUCAUUCAUUCUCCAUGAAGUCAUCGAUUUUCCAGGUGUUGGUGAACUGCCUGUGACUCCUCUCCUCCCCGGCCCCUACCCCUCAGGGAUAAUGAGUUCAUUGCUGGGCUAGAUGUUUUAGCCAUGAUUCUGCCUCUGUUUUAUACCUGCACACAUCCUUAUCUUUGUUACAUAUGAAAUAUCUGUAUCACGGGUAUAUUGAGAGAAAUAAAGGUGAGAGCAUUCACAAA
Molecule: long non-coding RNA, 1482 nt
Filed under: Homo sapiens (human)
Lineage: Eukaryota; Metazoa; Chordata; Mammalia; Primates; Hominidae
Description: HSALNT0262368
Source: RNAcentral